UUCCCUACGGGGGGCAGCAGUGGGGAAUAUUGGACAUUGGGCGCAAGCCUGAUCCAGCCAUGCCGCGUGAGUGAUGAAGGCCUUAGGGUUGUAAAGCUCUUUCGCCAGGGACGAUAAUGACGGUACCUGGAUAAGAAGCCCCGGCUAACUUCGUGCCAGCAGCCGCGGUAAUACGAAGGGGGCUAGCGUUGUUCGGAAUUACUGGGCGUAAAGCGUAUGCAGGCGGAUCGUUAAGUCGGGGGUGAAAUCCCGAGGCUCAACCUCGGAACUGCCGUCGAUACUGGCGAUCUUGAGUCCGGGAGAGGUGAGUGGAACUCCGAGUGUAGAGGUGAAAUUCGUAGAUAUUCGGAAGAACACCAGUGGCGAAGGCGGCUCACUGGCCCGGUACUGACGCUGAGAUACGAAAGCGUGGGGAGCAAACAGGAUUAGAUACCCUGGUAGUCC
Molecule: ribosomal RNA, 444 nt
Filed under: uncultured Hyphomicrobiales bacterium
Lineage: Bacteria; Pseudomonadati; Pseudomonadota; Alphaproteobacteria; Hyphomicrobiales
Description: bacterial SSU rRNA
Rfam family: Bacterial small subunit ribosomal RNA
Source: RNAcentral